CGCGGAGUGGAGCAGUUGGCAGCUCGUCGGGCUCAUAACCCGAAGGUCGCAGGUUCAAAUCCUGCCUCCGCAACCA
This 76-nucleotide transfer RNA is filed under the name Thermotalea metallivorans. Its description in RNAcentral is "tRNA-Met". It matches the Rfam family "tRNA". Rfam says of the family: Transfer RNA (tRNA) molecules are approximately 80 nucleotides in length. The record is from RNAcentral. Lineage: Bacteria; Bacillati; Bacillota; Clostridia; Peptostreptococcales; Thermotaleaceae.